Molecule: non-coding RNA, 803 nt
Organism: Heterocephalus glaber (naked mole-rat)
Lineage: Eukaryota; Metazoa; Chordata; Mammalia; Rodentia; Bathyergidae
Source: RefSeq, a predicted model, not a curated record
AGGAUUCAAUAAUGAUCACUCAGAACCUCAAGGAGCAAGGUGACGUUGAAGAGGUAUUUAAAAGGAGCUCUGUUUUCAAGUUGCUUAAUAUCUAGCUGAGAGCUUGCUGAGAACCUUGCUGGAUUUUUGUCUGAGCUCAAGUCAUGCCUGCUUCUGUCUGAUGAUUUACUAAAUUGUUCACAUGACUUGGAAGACAGAGAUGGCUGAAAGCACAUUAUAGCCCAAUGAAAGGAAAUUCAAGGAAAUUAUAAAGUGCCUCCUAAAGACCUCUUCAGAUAUCUGUGUGCCUCCCCUUCAGAAAGAAAGUUUCCUCUUGGCACAUAAAGAAGUGAAAUUAGGCCCAGAAGAGACUUUCCUUGUUGGAGCGUGAAUGUCAAAGAAACAAUCUUCAGUAAAACAGCUUUCUCUCUCAGCAUGCUCUGGAGAGAAGAACAACUUUGGAUGGUGGUGAUGCCUGUGCAGAGCAUAGUAGAGCUGCCAUUUACUGAGAUGACAGGAACGGAUGAAGAAAAAGGCUAAAGCAGUUAGAAAUAAAGAACUAUACUCAGGUGUCAGAUACAUGUCGCGGUGUUUCAGCCUGGAAUUCAUCAUCGUUCUGAUACAUCAACACUGACAUAUUACAUCUUCAUCUCUUAUGAUAGAAAAUGGAAAUGAAACCAGAAUGUGAGCUCGUUGAAUGACUUGGACUCCCCAGAGAUUUGGAGGAGAAGAAAACCUCCCACUCGCCUUUGACUUUUGGAUUUCUUGUUGCCUUCAUGUUUGGAUUGCACUUUGAGAAGUCCAUCUGGAAGUUCACUUUGUAU